This 11196-nucleotide long non-coding RNA is filed under the name Homo sapiens (human). Its description in RNAcentral is "HSALNT0201929". The record is from RNAcentral. Lineage: Eukaryota; Metazoa; Chordata; Mammalia; Primates; Hominidae.
UAAAAGUUUGGAAAAUUUGUAGCCCAGCUAUGUGGUAGAAAAGAAAAACCCAUUUUCUGUGGAGGAAUUCAAGCCAGCUGCAGAAAUUUGCAUAUGUAAAGAGGAGCCAAAUGUUGAUAGCCAACAUAAUAGGGAAAAUGCCUCAAAGGCAUUUCAGAGGUCUUUGCAGCAGCCCCUCCCAUCCCAGGCCUGGAGGCCCACAAGGAAAGAAUAGUUUUGUGGGCCAGGACCAAGGUCCGGCCACUCUGUGCAGCCUGGGGACAUGGUGCCCUGAAUCCUGGCUGCCCCAGCUCCAGCCAUGGCUAAAAGGGGCCAAGGUAUAGCUCAGGCAGAGGGUGCCAGCCAUAAGCCUUGGCAGCUUCCAUGUGGUGUUAAGCCUGCAAGUACACAGAGUGUGAGAGUUGAAGCUUGGAAGCCUCUGCCUAGAUUUCAGAGGAUGUGUGGAAAUCCUUGAAUGUCCAGGAAGAUUGCUGCAGGGGUGGAGUCUGUCAGGCCUCUGAGCCCAAGCCAAGCCAUCGCAUCCCCUGUGACUUGCAUGUAUACGCCCAGAUGGCCUGAAGUAACUGAAGAAUCACAAAAGAAGUGAAUAUGCCUUGCCCCACCUUAACUGAUGACAUUCCACCACAAAAGAAGUGUAAAUGGCCGGUCCUUGCCUUAACUGAUGACACUACCUUGUGAAAGUCCUUUUCCUGGCUCAUCCUGGCUCAAAAAGCACCCCCACUGAGCACCUUGCGAUCCCCACUCCUACCCGCCAGAGAACAAACCCCCUUUGACUGUAAUUUUCCUUUACCUACCCAAAUCCUAUAAAACGGCCCCACCCUUAUCUCCGUUUGCUGACUCUUUUCGGACUCAGCCUGCCUGCACCCAGGUGAAAUAAACAGCCAUGUUGCUCACACAAAGCCUGUUUGGUGGUCUCUUCACACGGACGCGCAUGAAGUUUGGUGCCAUGACUCGGAUCGGGGGACCUCCCUUGGGAGAUCAAUCCCCUGUCCUCCUGCUCUUUGCUCCGUGAGAAACAUCCACCUACGACCUCAGGUCCUCAGACCGACCGGCCCAAGAAACAUCUCACCAAUUUCGAAUCCGGUAAGUGGCCUCUUUUUACUCUCUUCUCCAAUCUCCCUCACUAUCCCUCAACCUCUUUCUCCUUUCAAUCUUGGCGCCACACUUCAAUCUCUCCCUUCUCUUAAUUUCAAUUCCUUUCAUUUUCUGGUAGAGACAAAAGAGACAUGUUUUAUCCAUGAACCCAAAACUCCAGCGCCGGUCACGGGCUGGGAAGGCAGCCUUCCCCUUGGUGUUUAAUCAUUGCAGGGACACCUCUCUGAUUAUACACUCACGUUUCAAGGGUGUCAGACCACGCAGGGACGCCUGCCUUGGUCCUUCACCCUUAGCGGCAAGUCCCGCUUUCCUGGGGCAGGGGCAAGUAUCCCUCAACCCCUUCUCCUUCACCCUUAGUGGCAAGUCCCGCUUUCCUGGAGCAGGGGCAAGUACCCCUCAAUCCCUUCUCCUUCACCCUUAGUGGCAAGUCCCGCUUUCCUAGGGGGCAAGAAGCCCCCAGUUGCUUAUUUCCACACCCCAACCUCUUAUCUCUGUGCCCCAAUCCCUUAUUUCCGCACCCUGACCUCUUAUCUCUGUGCCCCCAUCCCUUAUUUCCGUGCCCCAACCCCUUCUCUGCUUUUCUGGAGGGCAAGAACCCCCCAACCCUUCUCCGUGUCUCUUUUCUCUGGGCUUGCCUCCUUCACUAUGGGUAAGCUUCCACCCUCCAUUCCUCCUUCUCCUCCCUUAGCCUGUGUUCUCAAAAACUUAAAACCUCUUCAACUCACACCUGACCUAAAACCUAAAUGACUUAUUUUCUUCUGCAAUGCCGUUUGACCCCAAUACAAACUCGACAGUAGUUCCAAAUAGCCAGAAAAUGGCACUUUGAAUUUUUCCAUCCUGCAAAAUCUAAAUAAUUCUUGUCGUAAAAUAGGCAAACGGUCUGAGGUGCCUGACGUCCAGGCAUUCUUUUACACAUCAGUCCCUUCCUAGUCUCUGUGACCAGUGCAACUCGUCCCAAAUCUUCCUUCUUUCCCUCCCGCCUGUCCCCUCAGUACCAACCCCAAGCGUCGCUGAGUCUUUCUAAUCUUCCUUUUCUACAGACCCAUCUGACCUCUCCCUUCCUCCCCAGGCUGCUCCUGGCCAGGCCGAGCUAGGUCCCAAUUCUUCCUCAGCCUCUGCUCCUCCACCCUAUAAUCUUUUUAUCACCUCCCCUCCUCACACCUGGUCGGGCUUACAGUUUCGUUCGGUGACUAGCCCUCCCCCACCUGCCCAGCAAUUUACUCUUAAAAAGGUGGCUGGAGCUAAAGGCAUAGUCAAGGUUAAUGCUCCUUUUUCUUUACCCCAAAUCAGAUAGCGUUUAGGCUCUUUUUCAUCAAAUAUAAAAAUCCAGCCCAGUUCAUGGCUUGUUUGGCAGCAACCCUGAGACGCUUUACAGCCCUAGACCCUAAAAGGUCAAAAGGCCGUCUUAUGCUCAAUAUACAUUUUAUUACCCAAUCUGCUCCCGAUAUUAAAUAAAACUCCAAAAAUUAAAUUCUGGCCCUCAAACCCCACAACAGGAUUUAAUUAACCUCACCUUCAAGGUGUACCAUAAUAGAAAAAAGUUGCAAUUCCUUGCCUCCACUGUGAGACAAACCCCAGCCACGUCUCCAGCACACAAGAACUUCCAAACGCCUGAACCGCAGCGGCCAGGCGUUCCUCCAGAACCUCCUCCCACAGGAGCUUGCUACACGUGCCAGAAAUCUGGCCACUGGGCCAAGGAAUGCCCGCAGCCUGGGAUUCCUCCUAAGCCGCGUCCCAUCUGUGUGGGACCCCACUGAAAAUCGGACUGUUCAACUCACCUGGCAGCCACUCCCAGAGCCCCUGGAACUCUGGCCCAAGCCUCUCUGACUGACUCCUUCCCAGAUCUUCUCGGCUUAGCGGCUGAAGACUGACACUGCCGGAUCACCUCGGAAGCCCCCUAGACAGUCACUGACGCCGAGCUUCAGGUAACUCUCACAGUGGAAGGUAAGCCCGUCCCCUUCUUAAUCAAUACGGAGGCUACUCACUCCACAUUACCCUCUUUUCAAGGGCCUGUUUCCCUUGCCUCCAUAACUGUUGUGGGUAUUGACGGCCAGGCAAACCUCUUAAAACUCCCCAACUCUGGUGCCAACUUAGACAAUACUCUUUUAAGCACUCCUUUUUAGUCAUCCCCACCUGCCCAGUUCCCUUAUUAGGCCGAGACACUUUAACUAAAUUAUCUGCUUCCCUGACUAUUCCUGGACUACAGCUAUAUCUCAUUGCCGCCCUUCUUCCCAAUUCAAAGCCUCCUUUGCGUCCUCCUCUUCUAUCCCCCCACCUUAACCCACAAGUAUAAGAUACCUCUACUCCCUCCUUGGCGACCGAUCAUGCACCCCUUACCAUCUCAUUAAAACCUAAUCACCCUUACCCCACUCAACGCCAAUAUCCCAUCCCGCAGCACGCUUUAAAAAGAUUAAAGCCUGUUAUCACUCGCCUGCUACAGCAUGGCCUUUUAAAGCCUAUAAACUCUCCUUACAAUUCCCCCAUUUUACCUGUCCUAAAACCAGACAAGCCUUACAAGUUAGUUCAGGAUCUGCACCUUAUCAACCAAAUUGUUUUGCCUAUCCACCCCGUGGUGCCAAACCCGUAUACUCUCCUGUCCUCAAUACCUGCCUCUACAACCCAUUAUUCUGUUCUAGAUCUCAAACAUGCUUUCUUUACUAUUCCUUUGCACCCUUAAUCCCAGCCUCUCUUUGCUUUCACUUGGACUGACCCUGACACCCAUCAAGCUCAGCAAAUUACCUAGGCUGUACUGCCGCAAAGCUUCUCAGACAGCCCCCAUUACUUCAAUCAAGCCCAAAUUUCUUCCUCAUCUGUUACCUAUCUCGGCAUAAUUCUCAUAAAAACACACGUGCUCUCCCUGCCAAUCGCGUCCGACUGAUCUCUCAAACCCAAGCACCUUCUAUAAAACAACAACUCCUUUCCUUCCUAGGCGUGGUUAGCGCGGUCAGAAUUCUUACACAAGAGCCAGGACCACACCCUGUAGCCUUUCUGUCCAAACAACUUGACCUUACUGUUUUAGCCUAGCCCUCAUGUCUGCGUGCAGCGGCUGCCGCUGCUUUAAUACUUAUAGAGGCCCUCAAAAUAAGUAGAGGCCUUUCAUACAGGGUCUGAGAAGGCCACCGCAGUCAUUUCUUCCCUUCUGUCAGACAUAAUUCCUCAGUCUAGCCUUCCCACCUCAAUACAGUCUGAUAACAGACGAGCCUUUAUUAGUCAAAUCAGCCAAGCAGUUUUUCAGGCUCUUAGUAUUCAGUGAAACCUUUAUAUCCCUUAUAGUCCUCCAUCUUCAAGAAAACACACCUCACCAAGCUCAGCCACCAACUUAAAAAGGACUGGACAAUACUUUUACCACUUUCCCUUCUCAGAAUUCAGGCCUGUCCUCAGAAUGCUACAGGGUACAGCCCAUUUAAGGUCCUGUAUAGAUGCUCCUUUUUAUUAGGCCCCAGUCUCAUUCCAGACACCAGACCAACUUAGACUGUGCCUCAAAAAAAAAAAAUCCCAAAAAAAAAAACUUGUCAUCCCUACUAUUUUCUGUCUAGUCAUACUGCUAUUCACCGUUCUCAACUACUCAUACAUGCCCUGCUCUUGUUUACACUGCCAGUUUACACUGUUUUUCCAAGCCAUCACAGCUGAUAUCUCCUGGUGCUAUCCCCAAACUGCCACUCUUAACUCUUGAAGUACAUAAAUAAUCUUUGCUGGCAGGACUAUGCUGAAUCUCCUUAGGCACUCUCUAAUCAGACAUCCUGAGUUGUCCCAAUUCUUAGGCCUUUUAUACCUGUUUUUCUCCUUCUGUUAUUUCAUUUAGUUUUUCAAUUCAUACAAAACCGUAUCCAGGCCAUCACCAAUCAUUCUAUAUGACAAAUGUUUCUUCUAACAUCCCCACAAUAUCACGCCUUACCACAAGACCUCCCUUCAGCUUAAUCUCUCCCACUCUAGGUUCCCACGCCGCCCCUAAUCCCGCUCGAAGCAGCCCUGAGAAACAUCGCCCAUUCUCUCUCCAUACCACCCCCCAAAAAAUUUUCACCGCCCCAACACUUCAACACUAUUUUGUUUUAUUUUUCUUAUUAAUAUAAGAAGGCAGGAAUGUCAGGCCUCUGAGCCCAAGCCAAGCCAUCGCAUCCCCUGUGAUUUGCACGUAUAUGCCCAGAUGGCCUGAAGUAACUGAAGAAUCACAAAAGAAGUGAAUAUGCCUUGCCCCACCUUAACUGAUGACAUUCCACCACAAAAGAAGUGUAAAUGGCCGGUCCUUGCCUUAACUGAUGACAUUACCUUGUGAAAGUCCUUUUCCUGGCUCAUCCUGGCUCAGAAAGCACCCCCACUGAACACCUUGCGACCCCCACUCCUGCCCGCCAGAGAACAAACCCCCUUUGACUGUAAUUUUCCUUUACCUACCCAAAUCCUAUAAAACGGCCCCACCCUUAUCUCCCUUCGCUGACUCUCUUUUCGGACUCAGCCCGCCUGCACCCAGGUGAAAUAAACAGCCAUGUUGCUCACACAAAGCCUGUUUGGUGGUCUCUUCACACGGACACGCAUGAAAGAGUCCUCAUGGAGAAACUCUACUAGGGCAAAGUGGAGGGGAAAUGCAGGCUUGGAGUCCCCCACACAGAAUCCCCACUGGGGCACCGCCUAGUGGAGCUGUGAGAAGAGGGUCACUGUCUUCCGGACCCCAGAAUUGUAGAUCCACUGACAGCUUGCACUGUGCUUCUGGAAAAGCCACCGGCACUCAAUGCCAGCCAGCCGGUGAAAGCAGUCGAGGGGACUGUAUCCCGCAGAACCACAAGGGUGGAGCUUCCCAAGGCCUUGAGAGCCCAGCCCUUGCAUCAGUGUAGCCUGGACGUGAGACAUGGAGUCAAAAGAGAUUAUUUUGGAGCUUUAAGAUUCAAUGGCUGCCCUGCUGGGUUUUGAACUUGCACGUGGCCUGUAGCCUCUUUGUUUUGCCUGAUUUCUCUCUUUUGGAAUGGGAGUGUUUAGCCAAUGCCUGUGCCCCUAUUGUAUCUUGGAAGUAACUAACUUGUUUUUUUAUUUUAUAGACUCAUGGGCAGAAGGGACUUGCCUUGUCUCAGAUGAGACUUUGGACUGUGGACUUUUGAGUUAACACUGAAAUGAGUUAAAAUUUAGGGGACUGUUGAGAAGAGAUUAUUGUAUUUUGUAGUGUGAGAAGGACAUGAUAUUUGGGAGGGGUUGGGGUGGAAUUAUAUGGUUUAAAUUUGGGUCCUCAUUACCAAUGCCAUGAAGCCAUCCUACAAAUCCUGGGCUGCUUACACACCAAUUAAUAUGGUUUCAAUUUGUGUCCCUGACCAAAUCUCAUGUUGAACUGUAAUCCCCAAUGUUGGGGUAGGGGUCUGGUGGAAGGUUAUUGGAUCAUGGGGGCAGACAUUCCCCUUGCUGUUCUCAUGAUGGUGAAUGAGUUCUCAUGAGAUGUGGUUGUUUAAAAGUAUGUAACACCUCUCCUCCUCUCUCUGUUUCUCCUGCUCUAGCCAUGUAAAACGUGCCUCCUCCCUCUUUGCCUUCUGCCAUGAUUGUAAGUUUCCUGAGGCCUCCCAACCAUGCUUCCUGUACAGCCUGUGGAACUGUGGAAGAAUGGUCCAGGGAACUACGAACCCAGGGUUAUCCAGGCUUACAGGGCUGAAAGCCCAGAAUGACUCAGUGCUACAUGUUUUAAGGGAACCAAUAAAGAUCAUUAUUGUUACUCAGCAAUGACAUUCCUGCCACACAGCGCAGGCUCUCUACAUUUCUAUUUACAAUCUUCAUGUUAAUCCCCAAGUAAUAUUUAGAUUGUUGUGUAAAACCCUAAAUUCUGCUCCAAAAGAAGAUUGUGCCAAAUCCAUCUAUCUGAGUCCUUCCCACUGAACUCCUCAUCUUCUUGCCCAGAGGUAGUCCUUCAAUCAUUUCCUCCAGAAAUCUUACUAAACAAAGAACAGCUGACUGCAUUUGAAUGCUCAAGACCUAAAUUGAAUGGGGAAGGAAAGAGUUACACAAAAAAACACACCAGCCAAUUGGCUUCAACUCACUUGAACUAUGAGAGCUUCUAAAAGGUACCUUUCAUGAAUAAGGUUGGAAAAGGACUACACUCAGUUAAAUUCUUUGAACAAUCAUGACAAAAGCCAACCCUAUAUCCAGCAGAAGUUGAGUAUAAAAGGGUAGAGACUGCACUGAAAAAUUGAAAAGUAAAUUAUUACAUGCAAAGCAUGUACCUUUGCAUGAAAACAGAAUUUUAUGACUGUACCAUCUCUGUCUAUUAGCCAAUAAAGUUUUAAAUGAUAUUUUUGAUGAUGUCUCCAGACCCUAAGUGUUGGAGUUUCCACAACAGAGCACUCAGAUGAGAAAGAGACAAAAAAACAAGCAGAUGGCUCUCUGGGCACGACCAUCUCUGUGGUAAUCAUAAGGGUGGGAACCUCCCUAACAGGUAUCCAGGGUUCAAGGAUCAAUGCCCCAGGGGUGAUUGUGAAUGUGAUAAUUAGUUCACAACGUUUGUACUCAUGCAUGGUAAAUCUGUAAACCAGAAUAAUCAUCAUUUAAGUAUAUGUAAUCAUAUAAAUAUAUAUACAUAGAUAUCUAUAUCAAUCUAGCUAUCUAUAUCAUAUGUAAUUGUGUAGCCAGGGCAAAUCCUCCUUAGCACUGACAUCCCUGGCUGGCAGCCUAAUUAAUAAUCAGCACUUUAUUAGGCUAUUGCCAUUUCAUAUUAUCAGUAUCUGUUUCACUCUUCAAACUUCCAAGUGAAAUAUCCAUUAAAAUAUAUUUAAAAGACCAAUACUAGAAACAUUUGUUAUUAAUUUUUAAUUUGAUGUAUAAUACACUGAAUUUAUCUGUCUAUAUUAUAUAUAUCCAUCUUUUAAAUUAUUUUGCUUGAAUCUUUAAUCCUUUGCUUGCUUUAAUUGUCAGAGACUGAAUGUGGUAUCUAGCGAUCUCUUAAUUCCAGCAUCCUGACCUUAGCCCUCCCCACUCCACUGCCACCAGCCCAAACAAAUCUAUUAAUAAUCUGGCACUAGUUUCCAACAUUCUCAACAGGCUUCAUGACAAAAAAUAAUUCUGAUCAAAUAAUCCAGUGAUAGCAGUUGCUAAAGAUGCUUACAAUAACUAACAGAAGAUUUUUGAGAAACGAAUUAUCACUCCAGAUAUCUCUGAAGAGUGUCUUGAAACACACUUGAAAAUUGAUCAUAUCAUAUCCCACAAAGAAAAUCACAAUAAAUUCCUCAGUAAGCUCUGGUGGCAUUGGGACCAGGUUUCCCAUGGGGGUGGCCAACUAGUUAAGCACCCUUCUUUAGAUUUCCUCGUUUACUUCACUAGCACCACUCUCCUACUCUUUGGAUCCCAUCCCAAAUAAACCAUCUGCCCAUAAGCCCUUAUUUCAGCUUUGUUUUCCUUGAAAACAAAAUCUAGGAUAUGUUCUUUCUUUUGCACUUAUUGUCUGCAUCCUGCUCAAUUUGGAUUCUUAUGUCCAGCAGUUUCUCCUCAGUGCAUGUUUUGUCCUACAAGGGGGCUGCACUUUGUUAGUUUUGACAGUCCAUGGGGUCCAAUCCACUCUAACACUCACCCGUAAAUUGGAGGUUGCAAAGUGCUCCUGAAGUUCUGUUCUCAGACCAGCCAGCUGCACUUUCCUAUGAAAACCUGUUAGCAGUUUCGAGGCUUUUCAUCCUUGAUCUGUCAGAAACCCCUCUGCUUUCCCUUCUUUUUCAUCUAUAGGUAGGUUCUGAUAAUAAGCAGAUUUGGUUACUAUGCAUAGUUCACUUGUAUUUGAGUGUUCAUGUGAAUACCUUCUCACAUACUUGUAUGUAGGGGUUCACAUGAAUACCUUCUCAUGGUGCUUUUGCUGCAGAUUUCUCUAUUCAUUUGGGUUUGCUCUCCUAGUGGCAUUCUAUUCCAUUCCAUUCCACAACCACACGAGUAAAGGAUAUAUUCUGUAAAUAAUCUGCAAACUCAGUGAUUGAGAAAAAUAGUGGUCAUCACUUUAUAACACAUACUAAAAUAAGCUGCAAAUGAACUGAGAUAAAUCUUAAAAUGUAAACAUAACAAGAAGAAAUAGUAGGCAAAUAUGUAUCUUAUUUGUGAAGAGGAAAUUGUUUUUCUAAGCUUAAAAUCCUAAAAUGAAAAGAAAAAAAUGAUACUCAUUUAUAUUAAAAUUUCAAAAACUUGAUAUAAAAUAGUUAAACAGUAAGUUUAAUGCAAGUUAAAUACUAAGCAACAAAAAUACUGGUGUUAAUGUGGCAAAGGAUUAAUUUUUAAUAUAUGAAUGCUAUGAAAUAUAUCAGUAUGAAUGAUACUAAAAUCUAGAUAGAAAAAUGAGCAUAAGGCAUGAACACAGAAUUUGUAAUAAAAGCAGCAGAAAUGACUAGUAAAUGUGUGACUAAUUUGCAAGCUCUCUAGCAAGCAAAAAAAGUGCAAAUUAAAACAACAGUAUAAUAUCAUUUUUCUCCAAAUUACUAAUUUUUAAAAAUCAGGUAAGUCCUGAUUAAUUUACUUAUUUCAUAGUUUUAUAAUUUCAUAAGUAAGUAUUUCAUAUUUCAUCAUUUAAGUAAAUUAAUUAAUUAAAAUGUUGUUUGGUAAAAUAGAGAAUCAGAGCAAAAGGAGGUAGUAUAUGAAGGUAUGUCAAACUUGCUAAGCGUUGGUAACUUCAAUGCAUCAUACUUCUCCAUUACAAGGAUGAAUCCAGUCCACAGAUUAGAUUUGUCUAUUUGCUACGGCAUCCCCUACCCAGGAAACAUAUUAGAAAAUAGUUACUCUGUAAUUCACCUUUUCCCAAACUCUUUGAGGACUAUAGUCUUUCUCUUUGCUCUUGUUAGGUCACCCUUCUUUAUUUAUUUUCAAAUCUUGGUUAAUGGCCUCACCAUCUAAUUUGUCAACCUAGCUGGAUCCUAAGAUAUCUUUAACUUCUUCCUGUACCUUAUUCCUCUCCCUGACAAGUAGAACCUUGGGAUGCCAAUUCAGAUGUAAUAUCCAGGAAACUUAAAUGGACCCCAAAUAUGGGGCAUUAUUUGUGGUGGCAUUCGCAAGGGAGUGGUCCAAGAAACAGUGAAUCAGAGAGCUGGGUAAAUUUCCAAAAAGUAUCACAUGAGGGGGCUAGAUGAGUGACGUUCAUACCAUCUGUGAAAUGUUGUAAAAUACAGAUGCCCAAGCUUCUCCACAGACAUGUUCAUCAAAAAAUGCUUCCCUCAAAUUCAUCAGUGACUUCCUUACCACUAAAUCCAAUGGGCAUUUUUUUAACCUCAUCUUGACUGAACUCUCAGCAGAAUUUGACACUCGGAGGAAAAGCUCUGCUGGGCUUCUUUGGCACUAUGCUCUGCUGUUCCCUUCUUCCUCUCUGGCCAAGGCUUCCAGUCUCCUUUUCCGGCUUUUACGCUGUUUAGUCUUCAAAUGUUGAUGUUCCUUGAAGCUUGCUUUUUGUCUUUUCUUGCUCCACAAACUUUCUCUGACAAUAUCAUAUCUUCACUUACUGUAUACAUGCCAAAGACUUCUACAAAUAUAUCUUCAGAUUUAAUAUGCUCUUCUGAGCAUAUUAAGUCAGGUUAAUAAAUGCUCGUUGAAUUCACAAAUGACAAACAUUUCAAAAAUGCAUAGUUACUUUCUCUUCUACCUCAUUUUAGAUUAGUACAUUCUUGGUGACAUGGAAAUCACCCUUAUAUCAUAAUCUAUAUCUCCAAUUCUUUAUUUCUAUAAUCAGUAAAUCGCACACCGAGUUUGAAAAUCGGUAUAAACUUUAAUAGAAAGAGUUUCUCUUCAAUGAUCUGUCUUCUUUUUGACUUGCAAAUUAGUCAUCUCACAUAUUAUUUAUCCCAUUGUAUUUAGUAUAAUAAUUUGCACAUAGAGUUCAGUGAAAAUGUAUUAUAUGUUUGAUUUUGUUUAUUCCUUAAUUUCCCUAGAGGAGGCCAAAGUAAAAUUUGAGGUAUUUCUAUUUGGUAUAAUCUGAUGUAAUUUUGUAUGGAUUGAUCCCACAUAACAACAUCUUCCAAUUUGUACCUUUUUGCUUUGGACUGUUCAACUUUGGGCUAUAUUCUCUCUGGAAACUAAAAAUACCACAAGUGAUUGUUGCAGAAAAAUAGUAUAUGGCUUUGACAAGCAUAAUAACUGAAAUCAAGCAAUUAGAGACUGUCAUAACUGCACAGAAAC